RNAcentral lists this ribosomal RNA (301 nucleotides) under uncultured bacterium. RNAcentral's name for it is "partial 16S ribosomal RNA". It matches the Rfam family "Bacterial small subunit ribosomal RNA", at positions 509 to 809 of the family's 1533-position model. The record is from RNAcentral.
CAGUCGCCACGGUAAUACGUAGGGUGCAAGCGUUAAUCGGAAUUACUGGGCGUAAAGCGUGCGCAGGCGGUCCGCUAAGACAGAUGUGAAAUCCCCGGGCUUAACCUGGGAACUGCAUUUGUGACUGCAUGACUAGAGUGCGGCAGAGGGGGAUGGAAUUCCGCGUGUAGCAGUGAAAUGCGUAGAUAUGCGGAGGAACACCGAUGGCGAAGGCAAUCCCCUGGGCCUGCACUGACGCUCAUGCACGAAAGCGUGGGGAGCAAACAGGAUUAGAUACCCGGGUAGUCCUGUCUCUUAUACA